Molecule: unclassified non-coding RNA, 341 nt
Filed under: soil metagenome
Description: partial contains 5.8S ribosomal RNA, internal transcribed spacer 2, and large subunit ribosomal RNA
Rfam family: 5.8S ribosomal RNA (bases 1-120)
Source: RNAcentral
GAUGAAGAACGCAGCGAAAUGCGAUAAGUAGUGUGAAUUGCAGAAUUCAGUGAAUCAUCGAAUCUUUGAACGCACAUUGCGCCUCCUGGUAUUCCGGGAGGCAUGCCUGUUCGAGCGUCAUCAAAAACCUCAACCCAUGAUUUAUUGUGAGUUGGUUCUGCAUUGGACUCCUUGUGGGUCCUUUGCGAAAUCCAAUGGCGAAGAGCCACGCAACCAAAGCGUAGUAUAACUAUUUCGUUAUGGAAGCGUGGGUGCCUCUGCCGUAACCCCCAAUUUCUUAGUUUUUGACCUCGGAUCAGGUAGGGAUACCCGCUGAACUUAAGCAUAUCAAUAACGGAGGA